This is a long non-coding RNA of Passer montanus (Eurasian tree sparrow), 296 nucleotides long. RefSeq lists it as uncharacterized. NCBI's taxonomy places the organism in Eukaryota, Metazoa, Chordata, Aves, Passeriformes, Passeridae. The record is from RefSeq and is a predicted model, not a curated record. The transcript has 3 exons.
AAACUUCCCCAACAAGCUGAAUCACACUGGGAAAAGCUGCUGCCUGGGAUUUUUCUUCUCCAAAAAAUAAUUUGUUUAUAUGAAUGCAUCGCUGUAGCUGCUGCAAGGGCUAUCCAGGUCUUCAGGAAGGGGAUACUGCAGCAGUCUUUCCUCCUAGGGCAUCACUUUCAUGUCAGGGUUGAGGUGCUAAACCUUGACAUACAACUGAGAGAAGAAUCUCCCUGAACUGAACAAAUGUGUCACUUUUGAAUAAGGAUUCAUGAAAAGGCAGAAGAGGAGAAGAAAAAAGAAUAAAG